CGGACGACGCUGGCGGCGUGCUUAAAACAUGCAAGUCGAACGGACUUCUCAUGAAGCUUGCGAUUGAGAAGUUAGUGGCGGACGGGUGAGUAACGCGUGGGCAACCUGCCCCUGAGCCCGGGAUAACAGUUCGAAAGGACUGCUAAGACCGGAUAUACUUGCGGUGAAGCAUUUCACUGCAAGGAAAGGGAACGCUCAGGGAUGGGCCCGCGUCCCAUUAGCUAGUUGGUGAGGUAACGGCCCACCAAGGCGACGAUGGGUAGCCGGCCUGAGAGGGUGAACGGCCACACUGGGACUGAGACACGGCCCAGACUCCUACGGGAGGCAGCAGUUGGGAAUCUUCGGCAAUGGGCGCAAGCCUGACCGAGCAACGCCGCGUGAGUGAUGAAGGUUUUCGGAUUGUAAAGCUCUGUCUUCCGGGACGAUAAUGACGGUACCGGAGGAGGAAGCCACGGCUAACUACGUG
This 466-nucleotide ribosomal RNA is filed under the name uncultured bacterium. RNAcentral's name for it is "bacterial SSU rRNA". It matches the Rfam family "Bacterial small subunit ribosomal RNA", at positions 33 to 507 of the family's 1533-position model. The record is from RNAcentral.